UCCGUAGGUGAACCUGCGGAAGGAUCAUUAUCGUUGGGGCUUCGGCCCCGUCGAGAUAGUACCCUUGCCAUUUAUUAGCGUACCUGUUCGUUUCCUCGGCAGGCCUGCCUGUCAAUGGGGACCCCAUUAAACCUUUUUAUAUGUCGUAACCGUAACAAACAAAUAAUUAAAACUUUCAACAACGGAUCUCUUGGUUCUGGCAUCGAUGAAGAACGCAGCGAAAUGCGAUAAGUAGUGUGAAUUGCAGAAUUCAGUGAAUCAUCGAAUCUUUGAACGCACAUUGCGCCCUGUGGUAUUCCGCAGGGCAUGCCUGUUCGAGCGUCAUUUAACCUCCUCAAGCUCUGCUUGGUGUUGGGCGUUUGUCCCGCCUUUGGGCAUGGACUCGCCUCAAAAAUAUUGGCAGCCACCUCCCUGGCUUCGAGCGCAGCACAUUUGCGCCCGGUUCUCGGGGGUAGUGAUUUUCCAGAAGCACUUUUUUCGGUUGACCUCGGAUCAGGUAGGGAUACCCGCUGAACUUAA
This 519-nucleotide ribosomal RNA is filed under the name uncultured fungus. RNAcentral's name for it is "eukaryotic LSU rRNA". The stretch from base 171 to 324 matches the Rfam family "5.8S ribosomal RNA". The record is from RNAcentral. Lineage: Eukaryota; Fungi.